This 214-nucleotide long non-coding RNA is filed under the name Brassica napus (rape). RNAcentral describes it as "long non-coding RNA (BNAP_LNC023207)". The record is from RNAcentral. Lineage: Eukaryota; Viridiplantae; Streptophyta; Magnoliopsida; Brassicales; Brassicaceae.
GUGCUUAAAAGGAUAUAGCUAGACUUUGGGUUUUUAUUCAGGAAACUUGGGAUUAUAAUCCUACAGAUGCCUAAUGAGUUGCAUGUAUGAUAAUGUAAAGUUCAACUACUUAAUCAACAAGUCUAUCAGCUUUCGCAUGUUUGGACUUGUAUACUAACUAGAUCUAAUGAUCUCAACUAUCGUUUAUCGAUCAAUUAGAAAGUGACGAUUGAUG